RNAcentral lists this transfer RNA (77 nucleotides) under Haematospirillum jordaniae. Its description in RNAcentral is "tRNA-Arg". It matches the Rfam family "tRNA". Rfam says of the family: Transfer RNA (tRNA) molecules are approximately 80 nucleotides in length. Their secondary structure includes four short double-helical elements and three loops (D, anti-codon, and T loops). The record is from RNAcentral. RNAcentral also lists the same sequence under 5 other names. Lineage: Bacteria; Pseudomonadati; Pseudomonadota; Alphaproteobacteria; Rhodospirillales; Novispirillaceae.
GCACUCGUAGCUCAGCUGGAUAGAGUACUGCCCUCCGAAGGCAGGGGUCACAGGUUCGAAUCCUGUCGAGUGCGCCA